RNAcentral lists this long non-coding RNA (462 nucleotides) under Gorilla gorilla gorilla (western lowland gorilla). RNAcentral describes it as "lncRNA (ENSGGOG00000044582.1)". The record is from RNAcentral. Lineage: Eukaryota; Metazoa; Chordata; Mammalia; Primates; Hominidae.
UGCUAUUGAAACUAUAGAGAAGAAGAUCUUAUUCUGCAAUGUAGACAAUGUGAUAGAUGGAUGCAUGCAGUUCGUCAGAACUUAAAUACUGAGGAAGAAGUGGAAAAUGUAGCAGACAUUGGUUUUGAUUGUAACAUGUGCAGACCCUAUAUGCCUGCGUCUAAUGUGCCUUCCUCAGACUGCUGUGGAUCUUCACUUGUAGCACAAAUUGUCACAAAAGUAAAAGAGCUAGACCCACCCAAGACUUAUACCCAGGAUGGUGUGUGUUUGACUGAAUCAGGGAUGACUCAGUUACAGAGCCUCACAGUUGCAGUUCCAAGAAGAAAACUGUCAAAACCAAAACUGAAAUUGAAGAUUAUAAAUCAGAAUAGCGUGGCCAUCCUUCAGACCCCUCCAGACAUCCAAUCAGAACAUUCAAGGGAUGGUGAUAUGGAUGAUAGUCGAGGUAAUACUAAUUUAUUU